CAGCUGGCAUGGAGGAGCCUUGGAUGGGGUGUGAACAACACUUACUGCUCAUGUGUAAUAGCAAGGGAUUUCAUUGAAGCCCUUAACUACAGCAUCUGAAAUGAGACAAAUACAGCCUUGUGUUUACAGUGCUCUUCUGCGGGAACAGAAGCUUCUUAGGGGCAGAGAGCUGGGGUGGAAACUGUUCCAGCUGCCUUAUUUCUGAGUCAUCCCUAGACUCAGCCUGAGGCAACACACUGCUCAGCGUUUCAUAUGCUAUGUAUGUAGUUCAUUCUUUCUGUUCUAUGGAGAAAUAAUUAUCUAGCCAACGAGCAAGACACUGCGCAGUGAGUGCACCACAACUAAAUGCUUCAAAAAUACUUUAGGAAAAUUCUUGCUCCCCCUGCAGUCAAAGGAAGCUUUUGCAGUGAAUUUAAGGUGGCAAGGAAAUGUGCCUCUCUCCUAUGGACGCCCUAAAAUGGGCUUGAUGUGUGUGUUUGCUUUGCU
This is a long non-coding RNA of Melospiza melodia melodia, 486 nucleotides long. RefSeq lists it as uncharacterized. The record is from RefSeq and is a predicted model, not a curated record. Lineage: Eukaryota; Metazoa; Chordata; Aves; Passeriformes; Passerellidae. The transcript has 3 exons.